RNAcentral lists this ribosomal RNA (467 nucleotides) under uncultured bacterium. Its description in RNAcentral is "partial 16S ribosomal RNA". It matches the Rfam family "Bacterial small subunit ribosomal RNA", at positions 28 to 506 of the family's 1533-position model. The record is from RNAcentral.
GACGAACGCUGGCGGCGUGCUUAACACAUGCAAGUCGAACGGAAAGGCCCUGCUUUUGUGGGGUGCUCGAGUGGCGAACGGGUGAGUAACACGUGAGUAACCUGCCCUUGACUUUGGGAUAACUUCAGGAAACUGGGGCUAAUACCGGAUAGGAGCUCCUGCUGCAUGGUGGGGGUUGGAAAGUUUCGGCGGUUGGGGAUGGACUCGCGGCUUAUCAGCUUGUUGGUGGGGUAGUGGCUUACCAAGGCUUUGACGGGUAGCCGGCCUGAGAGGGUGACCGGCCACAUUGGGACUGAGAUACGGCCCAGACUCCUACGGGAGGCAGCAGUGGGGAAUAUUGCACAAGGGGCGGAAGCCUGAGGCAGCAACGCCGCGUGCGGGAUGACGGCCUUCGGGUUGUAAACCGCUUUCGCCUGUGACGAAGCGUGAGUGACGGUAAUGGGUAAAGAAACACCGGCUAACUACGU